UGAGGAAUAUUGGUCAAUGGACGCAAGUCUGAACCAGCCAUGCCGCGUGCAGGAAGACGGCUCUAUGAGUUGUAAACUGCUUUUGUACGAGGGUAAAUCCCGAUACGUGUAUCGGGUUGAAAGUAUCGUACGAAUAAGGAUCGGCUAACUCCGUGCCAGCAGCCGCGGUAAUACGGAGGAUUCAAGCGUUAUCCGGAUUUAUUGGGUUUAAAGGGUGCGUAGGCGGUUCGAUAAGUUAGAGGUGAAAUCCCGGGGCUCAACUCCGGCAUUGCCUCUGAUACUGUCGGGCUAGAGUUUAGUUGCGGUAGGCGGAAUGUAUGGUGUAGCGGUGAAAUGCAUAGAGAUCAUACAGAACACCGAUUGCGAAGGCAGCUUACCAAACUACGACUGACGUUGAGGCACGAAAGCGUGGGGAGCAAACAGG
RNAcentral lists this ribosomal RNA (424 nucleotides) under uncultured bacterium. RNAcentral's name for it is "bacterial SSU rRNA". It matches the Rfam family "Bacterial small subunit ribosomal RNA", at positions 355 to 776 of the family's 1533-position model. The record is from RNAcentral.